AGACCUCUCUCUGUACUCAUCCUUGGCAGACAGCAGGCCCGAGAGGAGGAGAAGGAAGAGGAGGAGGAGGAGGAGGAGGCAGGAGCAGAUUUGCUUGGCUAAGUCAAGAACCCUUCCCCGGUUGGCAUCAGAUUUCAUCUGGCCGAGCUGACAGAGAAGUGAUUAUCAGUCUAAAGGAUACCAACUCCACCUUGGAACAAUGCCAUUACCCAGAGAAGCCAAUUCUCUUCCUGGCUCAGAAGUGGGAGGAGCUGCACUUGGGAUUCCUACUGUGGGGUGUUGAGAACCAGCUCCCAGGCUCUGCAAGAUGAAAACCAAUCCUAGAGUUAAACCAAGAUGUCAGGCCGUCUAGGGAGUGGGAAUGAGAAGGAAGCCCAAGUUAAAACAAAAAUGGCCUCGAGGCCGGCUUUCUUUCCUUACUCAAUCUUGCGACUUUCAGAAGAGCCAGCUAUGUGACCAGCAAGGGCACAUGACGUUCACUUUAUGAAUCAAAUGUCCCCCCUGGUGGCUCCAACAGGACCAGGAUGAGGCACCACAGGGCAAGGCAUCAGAGGACUGCUCAAACCCAGGGGCCGCUGUGUGGCUGACCGCAGGAAUGUGAAUGGGGUUGCCAGGUGUGUGACUUGAAAGCCAUACUGGUGCACCAAGGAUCUUCAAGGUGUGCGACAGAGUUGAGGAUGAAAGAGAAGAUGGCCCAGGAGCUGGUGGUGCACACCUUUAUUCCCAGCACUCAGAAAGCAGAAAGUUCUCUAACUGAGGUUUCUGAAAGCAAACCUGCAGACUGAUGGACUCCUUAGAACUUCCUGAUUGUGGAAGGUGAGAAUGUUGCAAAGCUUUGGCCAACAUCAUCUUGUGACAUUGUUAGUUCUCUCAAUAGCCAUUACUCACCUUCCUCUGCAUCCGACCUAAGACCUGUGGGACGAUCAGGAAAGACUUUAGAAAUGUAUUAACUUAGCCGGCCAUCAUCAACCCCAAGGGCAAGAAUGUCAUCAGAGAACAUCCGAGACCUACAACAGGAUCUCCCACUUGGCUGCAACCUCAUGUCCCAGCAAUGCUUUGAUUUGUGACUGCCUUGUGUUUGGUAACUUUAUAGGUUCAGGUCACCACAUGCAUGGUGGAACAUGCCAUUCAAGGCAAUCUGAGUCUGUGUCACUCAUAUUUGGUUUGGAAUAAAAUCUCUCUUAUCCCCUUUGG
Molecule: long non-coding RNA, 1194 nt
Filed under: Mus caroli (Ryukyu mouse)
Lineage: Eukaryota; Metazoa; Chordata; Mammalia; Rodentia; Muridae
Description: lncRNA (MGP_CAROLIEiJ_G0002615.1)
Source: RNAcentral